Molecule: long non-coding RNA, 326 nt
Filed under: Pan troglodytes (chimpanzee)
Lineage: Eukaryota; Metazoa; Chordata; Mammalia; Primates; Hominidae
Description: long non-coding RNA NONPTRT001728
Source: RNAcentral
GGCUACACAGCUUCUGCUAGACCCUCUUGGGAUGUUCUUGCUUGGAGCCAAGCAGCCACCUGGAGACCCCACACAGCCUUUCCAGCUGACAGCCCCAGCUGAGGUCCCAGCAGAUGGCAUAUCCACAAAAUGAAGCCUUCUCUGAACCAGUCCCAAGAAGUCUCAACUUUAAAGCAUUAACUCCCCAAAUGAACUCACUUUCAUUUCAUCUUCUCAUAUGUCAUUGCAUUCUCAACAAACCAGAUCUAUAGGAUGGAUCAGUCAAAGCUUACAAAGAAAUCUAAUUAGGUAUGGAAUAUGAACUUUUUAUUUGAUAAAUAACUUAG